This 1014-nucleotide long non-coding RNA is filed under the name Olea europaea (common olive). RNAcentral describes it as "long non-coding RNA (OEUR_LNC011024)". The record is from RNAcentral. Lineage: Eukaryota; Viridiplantae; Streptophyta; Magnoliopsida; Lamiales; Oleaceae.
GGUACCUCAGCUGAAGUGUUCUGGUUCUUCCCGGAAGCCGCGUAGUAAGGCUUACUUUCUUUGACCAUCCUUUCUUCUCUUUCUCUCUCUAUAUUUGUGUAUCUAUCUAUAUAUAGGAAUGUGAAGUAUAUGUAUUUCUUGCUCGACAAAAAGGGAUUCAAAUAUCAAGCUUUGAAUUGGUACAAAUUUGAAUCAGACCCAUCAUUUUCUGCAUUCCCAUUUCAAAGAAAUUUACAGUUCUCGGUUAAACUGGCGCGAGAAAGAAUUCAUAUCCGUGAUUAAAGGAGCAUUUGACUCUGAAGUUUGAAUUUCCUGAAUUUCACGCACUAGAACAGAAUAUAUAAAGGGGUGAUCAUAUUCAUUCAGAAUCAUAUAUUUUUGGGACCACAGAAGGGGACGUUAAACUGGUGAGUGAUUUUUGACGCUUUUAGAUUACGAGUUUAGUUAUAAUUGCAAAUCCUUGACUGGUUUUGAUUUUGCCUUUUUGGCGAUGAUAGAUAUUCUUGGUUAUGUUCAAAAAUAAAAAAAUGUUAGCCUGAUUAAUCGGUUUACGAUCAGCUUUUAGUUAGGUAAAUAUUGAUCACAGAAUCAAUUUCCAGGAAGCAUUUCUUGGAAAAUUAAGCAUUGGUUAUGCUGCAGAAUUAGAAUUGAUGCUUAUGUCUUUCAAUUGCAAUCGUAUUUUGUAACUGAGACGUGUUUUUGUGAUCUUUCGAGUUUUGUAAUCUUUGCUAUCAUUUCUUUUUUCAGCUUGGAAAUUGUUUUGAUUUGGCAUUCGCGAUCAGUUUCUGUUCAAGAAACCGGGGAUGACUUUAAGAACGAAUAGCUUUGGUAAAGCAGAUUCAACUGCCAUCAUGAAGGAGAAAGGAUGCAAUAAGAUGGUUAGGGAGAAUUCGAUAAACUUCAGGAACUUCGAGCCCGCAAAAAUAGUCCUUGAAACGACGCUUUCAUUCAAGAAUUUAGUUCAAGAAAUAAGAAAAUCAGAAUCUGAUUAUUCGCAUGCAAAAGUCGANNNNN